Molecule: RNA transcript, 640 nt
Organism: Sapajus apella (tufted capuchin)
Lineage: Eukaryota; Metazoa; Chordata; Mammalia; Primates; Cebidae
Gene name: U1 small nuclear ribonucleoprotein C pseudogene
Exons: 1
Source: RefSeq, a predicted model, not a curated record
GGAGUGGCCAACGGCUUGCGGAGCAACAUGCCCAAGUUUUAUUGUGACUACUGCGAUAUAUACCUCACCCAUGACUCUCCAUCUGUGAGAAAGACACACUGCAGUGGUAGGAAACACAAAGAGAAUGUGAAAGACUAUUAUCAGAAAUGGAUGGAAGAGCAGGCUCAGAGCCUGAUAGACAAAACAACGGGUCCUCCUCUCCCUGGUAUGAUGCCAGCACCCCAUAUGGGGGGCCCUCCCAUGAUGCCAAUGAUGGGCCUUCCUCCUCCUGGGAUGAUGCCAGUGGGACCUGCUCCUGGAAUGAGGCCACCUAUGGGAGGCCAUAUGCCAAUGAUGCCUGGGCCCCCAAUGAUGAGACCUCCUGCCCGUCCCAUGAUGGUGCCCACUCGGCCUGGAAUGACUCGACCAGACAGAUAAGGAUAGAGGGGAGGCCUCAUUCUAUCAGUUUUAUAUUACCUGUUCUGCUUCACCAGGAGAUCAUGCUGCUGUGAUGCUGGGUUUUCUAAACAGCAUAAGGAAGACUUGCUCCCCUGUCUGAUCAAAGAGAAUAGUUUUGGAGGGGAGAGGUGGGGCAAAAAAGAUGCAAUUUUCAUUUGUAUUGGGAAAUGUGAAAAUAAAAUUGUCAACUCUUUUAGUUAAA